GCGCAUGUGUCGCUCUAUCCUACUAGGAACAUGGCAGCCGCCAUAGAUGACGUAUUUAGGUUAAAUGUUUCAUAUACAUAUGUUUAUUUGUAUGUGAUGUACCAAUAAAUCUUUGGUACAAAUAAAAGAAAUUGUUACAAAAUAUCAACAAAAUGAUUCGAGGUUGGCAUAGUUGUGCCAUGUAUAAAUGCCCGAAUAUUUCAAGACGAAUACCUUACCUGGGUUAAGCUUUUUUCGUUUCCCGAAGGAUGUAGAAAGAUGUAGAUUAUAGUUAAGGAAUUGCGGGCGUACAAUUAAAGUUCCAAUAGAGAACUUAUAUAAAACAUACCGGAUUUGUGGAAAUCAUUUUGAUUCUACAAUGUUUUUAAAUGAUUUAAAAAAUCGCCUCCAACUAUACGUAGUUCCAAAACCAAUGAAUCUACAAAUAAAAUCAAUCAAACGUGUACAGGUCUACAAAUAGAAAAACCAACGAAUCAACAAAUAGAUCAGUCUGUACAUGACUUUUUAUUAGAUUCUGAUAAUCACAUAUCUUUUUCAUGUAAAGAGCAGGAUGUAAACGUUAUGGAUGAAGAUAAUCGAAAGGAUCAGGAAGGAACAACUAUCUGUUACACAAGAUGAGAAAAUACAAACCGAUUCCACAUUAUCUAUUAAUUCACUCCGAAAAAAGAUAUUGAAAAAGAAAAUCCAUUUAUUACAAAAAAAAUUACAGAAAGUUAAGAAACAAUUAAAGCAACAGGAAGCAAGUUAUACAAAAAAGAUUAAGAAGCUCUCUCUACCAAUAGAAUAUUGUGAUGCAACAGAUCAAAUAUUGCCACCAUCUGUUGCGACCUUUGUGAAAGCACAAGUACACCUGGCUCAAAAGUCGCCAAAGGGUAGGAAAUUUUCUUUGGAAUUUAAAAAAAUGUGUUUUACUUUAUACUUCAGUGAACGUAAAACCCAUGAAGUUUUAUCAAAACAGUUCUGUUUGCCUAGCACAAGAACUUUACAACGUAUGAUCGAAAAUUUUGAAAUUUUUCCCGGGUUGCAAAAUAAUGUUUUUGAUAUUUUAAAAGCUAAAGUAUCUACUGUUAAAACUAAUCUUGAUAAAUAUUGUACAUUGUGUAUGGAUGAAGCUGUAUUAAAAGCACAUUUAUUUUAUAAUAUAUUAGUCAAGAUACGGUAUAUGGUUUUGAAGAUUGGGGUGAAGGAAAAUCGGCAUUGCCAGCAUGUAACGUUGCAGUUUUAAUGCUUAGAGGUAUAUGCACGAAUUGGAAACAACUUAUAGGAUAUUUUUUUCUAAAUUUCACAUUUCAUGCUACUAAAUUAAAAGAUAUAACGCAAAGUAUAAAAAAUUUGCAAGAACUUGGAUUUAUAGUUAUUGCUUUUGUAAGUGAUACGGGACAAAAUUUCAUAAAUGUAGUACAAGCAUUAAAUGUUACAACAGAGUCACCAUUUUUUGUUGUUAAUGAUCAACAAAUAGCUCAUUUCAUUGAUCCACCACGUGCUUUGAAAGCUAGUCGUAAUAAUUUUCUGAAAAAUAUUAUUAAAGAUAACGGAAAAUUUAUUUUAUAGAAAUACAUUAAAGAACUAUACGAUACAGAACAAAAUAACGAAAAUAGAUUAGCACCCAAACUAACAGAUAUACAUAUUAUGCCUACUAAUUUUCAAAGAAUGAAAGUUCGCUAUGCAACGCAAGUUUUGAGUGGAACAGUAGAUGCUGCUUUAAAUAAACUAGUAAUGUCUUGUAAUAUUUCAUAUGAAGCCCUUAUUGCAGUUAAUUUUGUUCAAAACAUGAAUGAUUUAUUUGACAUGUUCAACUCAUCUACAGUUUUCCAUAAGAUAAAAUAUAGACAAGCUUUCAGUGGUCAGGAUUAUCAAAUAGAAUUUUCGUCAAAAAUGAAAAAAUAUCUAAGUGAAUUAACAAUAUUUACAAAACAAGGAGUUAAUAUUUCGAAAAAAGUUAAAGUAUUUAAAUAUUGGUGUCAAAACAUAAAUUCCCUCUUAAAGAUGUGGGAUUACUUAUGUGUUACUGCCACAGAUAUAAAAUUUUUGUUAAUGCGUCGUUUUAAUCAAGACUCAUUGAAGAAUUUCUUUGGUAAAAUCAGAAUUAUGAAUGGUAACGCUUUUAACGCCUACACCUAUCCAAUUUUAUUACUCUUUUCAAAAACUGUUUUCUGUAAAUUACUGUGUGCCAAGAACGAGGAAUUGUCAACAAGAUAAUGAUGAAAUGUUAACGGCUAUGGUAAAUUUUGUAACGCAAUAUACGAAUAUUGUUGAAAAUGAAGUAGACGAAAGUGAAGGUGUAUCUGUACGUCUAGAUAAUCAUGAUUAUCGUCAAAUGGAUAUUAACGAACAAGAUGCGUUGCGAUACAUUUAUGGAUACCUUAUUUGUAAAUGUUUAAAAAUACAUUCAUGCGAUUUGUGUUUAAAUUACAGCAAAGAAUAUGUAGAUUUAAAUGAUACCUCAUACUAUUGUUUCUUUAGAGCGUAUAAUGCUACUAAUGAUAAUCUUUUUGGUAAUUUAUGUAUGCCAAAUAAUAAUUUUAUUGAAUAUAUUACAACUUUGGAGGACAUAUUUUUUUAAGAAAAUUGAAGAAUAUAUUUUGCAACCACUUAUCGUAAAUAAAUUGAUUCGACUUUUUAGGCAAGUCGAAUUUAUUCCUCCUUGUCCGUCUUUUCCAAAAAAUUAUUUAAUAAAACUUUAUGCUAGAGUUCGACUAUAUUAUACUAUAAAAUGUAUUAACAGGCGAUUUAAGUCACAAUACGGUCGUAAAAAAAUGGUUAUUUUGCAUCAUGACUGAAAGAUACUUUGUGUUCAUUACUAUAGGUCUAAGAUACUUUGUGUUUAUUAUUAUAUAU
Molecule: long non-coding RNA, 2838 nt
Organism: Harpegnathos saltator (Jerdon's jumping ant)
Lineage: Eukaryota; Metazoa; Arthropoda; Insecta; Hymenoptera; Formicidae
Exons: 3
Source: RefSeq, a predicted model, not a curated record